Molecule: transfer RNA, 65 nt
Filed under: Stegodyphus mimosarum
Lineage: Eukaryota; Metazoa; Arthropoda; Arachnida; Araneae; Eresidae
Rfam family: tRNA
About the family: Transfer RNA (tRNA) molecules are approximately 80 nucleotides in length.
Source: Rfam by way of RNAcentral
GUCUUUGUGGUGUAGUGGUCAGCACGCUGGGCCAGAGAUCCGUGGUUCGAAUCCCGGCGAAGGCG